GUACUGCUGAAGAGUCCCAAACUAGGACGAAGCAGUUAGCUGUCCAGUAC
This is a non-coding RNA of Trichobilharzia regenti, 50 nucleotides long. Lineage: Eukaryota; Metazoa; Platyhelminthes; Trematoda; Strigeidida; Schistosomatidae. The record is from Rfam.